AUGCUCACUUUGGUAGCACAUAUACUAAAAUUGAAAUGAUAAUGAGCUUAGCAUGGCCCCUGAGCAAGGAUGACAUGCAAAUUCGUGAAGGGUUCCAUAACUUA
Bison bison bison is the source of this 104-nucleotide small nuclear RNA. Lineage: Eukaryota; Metazoa; Chordata; Mammalia; Artiodactyla; Bovidae. The record is from Ensembl.